UACGAAGGGGGCUAGCGUUGUUCGGAUUUACUGGGCGUAAAGCGCGUGUAGGCGGAUUUGUAAGUUGGGGGUGAAAUCCCGAGGCUCAACCUCGGAACUGCCUCCAAAACUACAAGUCUGGACUCAAGCAGAGGCAAGUGGAAUUGCGAGUGUAGAGGUGAAAUUCGUAGAUAUUCGGAAGAACACCAGUGGCGAAGGCGACUCACUGGACACAUAUUGACGCUGAGGUGCGAAAGCGUGGGGAGCAAACAGG
RNAcentral lists this ribosomal RNA (253 nucleotides) under uncultured bacterium. RNAcentral's name for it is "partial 16S ribosomal RNA". It matches the Rfam family "Bacterial small subunit ribosomal RNA", at positions 524 to 776 of the family's 1533-position model. The record is from RNAcentral.